AAUUAGCAUGCGAUAAAAUAGAAAAUACUAAUUAGCAUGGUAACGAGGAUUUAAUUAUUCAGUUAAAACUUACUGUCUUUUUUUUUACACUUUACUCACUCAUUUUGUCCACAUAUAUGCUUUAUUGAUAGUCAUCACCAACCACUAUAACGUCUCUAUCUAAAAUACACCAACAUAUACUUAUAUAAUCGAAGUAAAAUACACGUAGGGGGGCAAAUAUACAUAAAUCUAUGAGUAUGAAACUUGUCAUUGCACAAUUUUGAUCUCUAUGUGUAUCUGUGAGAAGAAACAAAGAUAUAAAUAUCUGGUUGGUUAGAAGAAUGUAUACCUACCUUGUUAUUUAAUUCAUGUAAUAUGAAAUAAAUUUACAUAUUUUGUUUUUUCUCAUCACGUCUUUACUAUAAGAAUACAUCAUCUAUGAUGUAUCCAGUUCUUAUCCGAUUCACU
This 447-nucleotide long non-coding RNA is filed under the name Brassica napus (rape). Its description in RNAcentral is "long non-coding RNA (BNAP_LNC011221)". The record is from RNAcentral. Lineage: Eukaryota; Viridiplantae; Streptophyta; Magnoliopsida; Brassicales; Brassicaceae.